CUCCCUAAUCUUCUCACUUCCUCCCUCCUCUCAUUCUCACCUCCUCUCUCUCUCUCUCCCUCGCAGCAGCGGGAGCGGCCGAUGGCGGAUCCCGCGGCGACGGCGACAGCGACAGCGGAGGUGGCGGGCGACAACGGCGAUAGUGGCGGCCAGCUCGGCACCGCCUUCGACAAGGAGGCGCGCGGCCGGGAGCCGGCGGCGCCCGUGAGGGGGCGGGCGACGACUGGGAGCGUGCGGCGGCUGCUCGGCGCGACCUAUGGCGACGGCCGGUAGCGGGCGGCGGCGGCUCCGCGCGACCUCGGGCGACGGCCGGGCGCCACAGCCGCCGACGAGGCGACGACCGGGAGCGGCGCCAUCCCGGUCCCCCGCCGUGCGCCGCCGGCGAGGAGGAGGAGGAGGCGGCCGGGAGUGGCGCCGCCGCCACCGGGAUGCUAGGGUUUCUUUUUUUUUGAGAUUUUUUCGGUUUUUUAUUUUUGUGUGAGCACCCGUAUUUUUCCGUGCGGGUGCGCCACCUGCACGCGGGGCAGACGGGCCUUCGGUCCGCACACGAAUUUUUUUUUUGGUAUGAAAAAAUAGUUUCUGUUUUCUGUAGUAGGAGGCGGCCCACUAGAUUGAAGAAUUAGACAAUAGAUUGUCCUUAAUGAAAAGUACUGCUCAGUACUAUUUCUGUCAAAAAGAUUGUCACUAUGAUUUUCGUUUUGUCCCACAAAGAUCUUUGGAGUUACUAUUUAAUAGAGUUCAUUAUAGUCUUUUUUUUUCCCCUCAAACUUUAAUCUUCGGCUUUUCACUAAACAACUUAGAAUUGUAGUAUUUUUUAUGACGGAGGAGUACGUUAGGUUAUGAGUGCGAUCUUGCAAGAUGCUACCUUUGGUCAGAUGCUGUUUUCAUUGUGUGCCUCAACGAAGAAAAAAAAGGGUCAUAUGCCAAAGGGGAGGAAGAGUAUCAUAUAAGCCAUAAGCUCUAGCCAUGGAUCGUCAUUCGUCGUCACCUGCUAACUAAGCCAUGGCGCGCGCACUUAUUAUCGCCACCGGUGUAUCUAUACUGAUCGGAAUUAUAAGUCGCCUGCAAGCACGGCAGCGCCGUUAUGAUGCAGGCAUGCUUCCAUCUCUCGUUGCAUGUAUAUAUCCUCUGCAGUUAAUCCUUUUCCCCCCUCGCUCAGUUAUGUGUAACAUCGAUCUUGAUCGUCCUUGUGUUCUUAUUUGAUCUGCAGGAGCAGUACUGCAUAUAUAUGUAUAUGUAUAUGCGGAGAGUUAGCAUAUAUCCUGGGAAAGUGCCUCGAUUCAUCAUCUCCAGUCCGGAGACGAUGUGAACUGCCGUACGUCGUCUACGACUAGCUAGGUUUCUCGGCCGGGAACCUUACCUCACUUAAUUACGAAGCACAAAGAUGGCGAAGCAGCAGCCCGUCCUGAUCAGGCUACUUCAGGUACGUGUUAUUAGGAGGUGGAAUAGAAGGCAUGCGGAUGAUCCGGUGGUGCGAUCGAGUUGCCGGCCCGCGACGAGGGAGUUGAAGAAUAGCUAGAAGAAGAGGAAAGAGAUAAGUACUGUUCACUGGGCCUCUGGCCUAUUAUAAUUUGUCUAUGGGCUGAGAUUAGGCCCAUCUUAACUUAAGCUGCUCUUUUUUUCCUUGGGACUAAUAGUAGUAGCCCAUCCUCCCCGACCCCCGAACGAGGCCCAUCAAUCAUCAUCAGGUUAUUGGUGCAUCGUUCGUCUGUCUGUCGUAGCCGUGUGGGGUCACCGACCGAGUGAGUGAAGACUCGUUGAUGCAACUCGCGCGCUGUGCCCCCCUCUCCCUCAGGGGAGGUGCAGGCCGGCAGCCCUUUAACCGAGCAAAUAAGAUGCAAAUGCUCUCGCAUUCGCAUCCAUUAGGGGAAAUCCUCUACUCUGAUUAGACAAAGCUAGACGCAUCCAUUAGGGGAAAUCCGGGACUCUAAUAAGCAAGCUAGAUCGAGGGCCUGGAUAGCUGAGGCGAAAUGGUGAAGGAAGAACAAGAUUUGUGCGGGAUCAAUGUCUCGGAGAGGGGGAAGAUGAAUUUGGAGCUCGAGCUGCUGAUGAAACAGUGUAGGAAUAUGGCCGAACACUAUCACGAGCUGGAGAAAGAUUUGAAGCUCCAUGACGUGCUCCUCCUCCUGCAAAUCCUCCCAGCAGUUCGCCAAGAUUUGGGAUGGAUUCGUCUCUACAUCAACAAUGCUGCGGACCAGGACAACACUCAACUUCUGCACCAACAGUGGAAUGCGCAGUUGGCGAUCAACCCUCCUGCCAAAGAUUUACAGCACAUCCUCUUCCUGACCUAUUUGCCACGAGGACCUGGGAAUCAGCAAAAAGUUCUGAGGGAGACCUUUAACAACCACAAGUGGGAGCUCAAAGAAAAGAUCAAGAGCAACAAUACGAGCCAUGUCGAUAUAUGCAAACUGUUAUAUGCAAAGAAAAAUAAAUCUCAGAAAGACGACGUCGACGCUACAUUUAAACUUAACAUGAUCGAGCUCUCAUUGAGUGAAGAUCCGAACUCGCUGCCUUGCAUUGCUCUCUGCCUGGUAUAUCAAAGCAACAAAUCCCCCAUGCUCUACCUUAUUCAAUCACUUGUACAUCGUUUGCAGAUUCAAGUACGACCAAGUGCCCAAAUCGAACAGAAGAAAAUAGAUGCUGAUAAUGGGAAAUACUCUGAAGAUGAAGAUGACUAUAAACGUUCACACAAGUACCUGAUGAAGGGCAAAUAUAAAGUUGUUGAUGAACAUAGUUAUAACAACAUUCAAAGCGCCAUUACCUUGCGUGACACUAUUGUUCGUCGUUUGGAUACAUGGCUGCAACAACACCAGGACAUAGCAAGCACAAUCGAGGCACUCCUUCCAUUUCAGAAUGACCUUGACGAUUUUAUACUGGAAAAGAUGAAUGAUAUGCUAUCAGUAGUACAUAGAAUGCUUGUGAAAAGAAAAGGUACCCUCAAGGGCUCCCAGGUGUUUGAAGAGAAUAAGAGGGCAUGUUUACGUCAGGAGCCUGCUAUUGAAAGUUCUCAGAUUAAAGACUUCUCAAAUCUCGAUAUUUUUACAACCACUAAACAUCAAAUUUUGAAUACUUCACAAGUUUCACAAAAUGAAGCAGUAAUUACUCAACAGAGUCAGUCUGCUGUCCCGGUUGACAUGAAGCAAUAUGAUUUCUAUGCCCGCAACCAACAACAGUUUCCAGUAAACCUUCCUGAUUUUCGGCCGGAAGCUUUGAAUGCAUUAUAUGUGCUUCAAACUGGCGAAGUAAUAACCAUUCACGGUCAAAGUCAGGUAUGUUCCGGAUGUGCUUACCAUUUGUUUCUCCACCUUGUUUUUUUUUCCGUGUUGAGGCAUACAUGGUAAAAAGGUAAAUCACAGAGAAAUAUAUACUUGGAUCAAUUGAAUUGUCAAUGCCUAGAUAUCCAAAACCGUGUAGAUAUAUAUGUAUAUCAUGCCCGGAUAUUACGGGCUUGUGAUCUUUGCAAAAAAAAAGGGUAUUUUUUCAUAAAAGCAUUCUUACACCAUCUUUAAAGCUAGGAUGGCUAGAAAGAGCUAGCAUACGAGGGAUUAAGAUAGGAGUAACCACGUAUUUCUAACCCUUUAUUUAAUCCAGAGGGGUUCAAUAAUGGAACCCUGGCUACAGUGUGUUCACACUGAACUGAACGCAUGUGCCAACUGUGCUAGAGUUUACAUCAUCUUAUUAUCAAAUAGGAGUAUAUAUAUAGUUUCAGUCUGCACUGGAUUAGGUUAACUAGAAACUCAUGCAUUGCACGUAUGUUUCAGGAAACAAAUGCAUUCAGAACAAGUACCUACUAAUUCCAUCUGGGUUCAUUGCACGUACGAUACGAUCGUAGACAUACUCCAUUCUCCAAAAACAGUCUUGUACGUAAAAGCUGGGAUACUAGUUAAGUACUAUGGUCGAAUGGGCAAGACGAUAUUGCCAAAUGAUUAACUGGAAUAUAUAAUAUGAUACUCCCUCCGUUUCACAAUGACUUGGACGCUUGUAAAUGGCAUUUCUUGGAUUAUCUCAUAUUAAAAACAUGUAGCGAUAUCCUCAGGCAAGCUCCAUCCCUAUAAAUGAAGCUCAGCAAGGAGAGGCAUUGCAGUGUCUGGAGCAGG
Non-coding RNA from Oryza sativa Japonica Group (Japanese rice), 4097 nucleotides. Lineage: Eukaryota; Viridiplantae; Streptophyta; Magnoliopsida; Poales; Poaceae. The record is from RefSeq and is a predicted model, not a curated record.